Molecule: non-coding RNA, 673 nt
Organism: Punica granatum (pomegranate)
Lineage: Eukaryota; Viridiplantae; Streptophyta; Magnoliopsida; Myrtales; Lythraceae
Source: RefSeq, a predicted model, not a curated record
GAAAUAUUGCAAAAAGCCACAUGACCUAAUUCUGAAAUAAGCAAGGUGCCACCUACUCCCAAUUCCGAUCAGAUUUUCGGCCAAAAGGAGAGCACAUGCCUCUCACAAGUCAAAUAUAAAGGGUAAGAAGGUCAUACUGAUUAAACUUGGUGGUAAAAAAAAUCAAAAUAAAAUAAAAUUUGGGUAUAAUUACCCUCCCCCAAUUCCACGCACUGUGAUAUCGUGUCUUCCGACCAGCCCCUGUGACCUCAACUCCUCGACCAGCCUCCGGCGACUGCUCCGGCCGAUCAGACCGAGUGCGAUCACAUCUCCUCAACCAGAUGUCGGUGCAGACCGUACUAGCGACUCCUUCUCCCCGGCCUCAGCUUCUCGCAGACUACAGUACGGCGCCUUUUGAUUUUACAGAACCCGUUCGCCUGUUGGGUAUUUCCUGAGUAGUUACUGGAGGUGGAAUUAGAUUAGUGUCUGAGCAUGAAACUCACGGCUUGACUAGUAUUUUUGCAACUUAUGCUACCAAUCUUGCUAUCAUCGCGGGAUGCUAUAGCUAUUAUAGUAAAUCCUUGCUCGUUUUUCUCAAGAUUUUGAGGUUUCCUUGCGCCAUGCGGUUGUAUGUUACUUCUUCAUGAAAUGACAUUGGGUAUCGGGUUUUAAGAAUGACCCAGUUACGUUAUUA